This 92-nucleotide transfer RNA is filed under the name Neonectria ditissima. It matches the Rfam family "tRNA". From Rfam's summary of the family: Transfer RNA (tRNA) molecules are approximately 80 nucleotides in length. Their secondary structure includes four short double-helical elements and three loops (D, anti-codon, and T loops). Further hydrogen bonds mediate the characteristic L-shaped molecular structure. tRNAs have two regions of fundamental functional importance: the anti-codon, which is responsible for specific mRNA codon recognition, and the 3' end, to which the tRNAs corresponding amino acid is attached (by aminoacyl-tRNA synthetases). tRNAs cope with the degeneracy of the genetic code in two manners: having more than one tRNA (with a specific anti-codon) for a particular amino acid; and 'wobble' base-pairing, i.e. permitting non-standard base-pairing at the 3rd anti-codon position. The record is from Rfam by way of RNAcentral. Lineage: Eukaryota; Fungi; Ascomycota; Sordariomycetes; Hypocreales; Nectriaceae.
GCGGAAUUAGUGUAGUGGUUAUCACGCAGCAUUCACAAGCCGUCUCUGCUUGCAUCCUGCUGAGGUCGAGGGUUCGAACCCCCCAUUCCGUA